This is a long non-coding RNA of Anolis carolinensis (green anole), 2160 nucleotides long. The record is from Ensembl. Lineage: Eukaryota; Metazoa; Chordata; Lepidosauria; Squamata; Anolidae.
AGUCAUGGGAAUCAAUGAGGCAGAAAUCAGGAUUGUAGCUGAUCCCUUGGUUGCUGCCCCAUGUCUUAUGGCACCGUCUUGUGUGGCUCUGUAAAAGAUUAAUACCAGAGAGAGGGCAGCGGGUUUGUGUGUGCAUGUAUGUUUGUGAAUUAAGAAUAGCAGAUAACAUCAGAAUUUAGGAAAGUUGAAGUUAUUGAGUACUGGCUAUAUUCAACAGAGGUUUUGGGAAGUUUCAAAAAAUAAAUAUAAGCAAAUUCUGUAGGGAUCACUAGUGUGGAGGGCAAGAAUUGUAAUUCUCUUGCAUUAUUUCCCCCCAAAACAGCAUGCUCACAGUUUGGUCCAUAAAGCAGCUGACAAGUAGGUUUUUAAGGGAGCAUUAUAUCACUGCAAUGGUUGAGGCAUGGAUGAAAUAGUGGCUCAGGCAACAGGGAAUAUAUAUGGAUUUUACUAAAUGUUGAUAAAUUCAUGAUAGAUUUUAAGGGAGCAUUUCUGGGUUUUAUAGGAGCUAUCCAAAGUACGGAACCACCUACCCUGUUUCCCCGAAAAUAAGACUUCCCCUGAAAAUAAGACACUGUCUUAUAUUUAUUUUUCCUCAAGGGAAGAGAAGGCAGGAAGUGAGAGGAAAGGAAGCCCGGACUCGCCUCCACCGCCGCUGUGGAAAGUUCUUGCAUUUCACUUUCUAUGUCUCCUUCUAUGCCUCAGCUUGUAUCACUAUGUCUUAUUUUCAGGGUUUGGCUUAUAUUGUGCAAAUGCUUAGAAAUCCUGCUACGGUUUAUUGUAUGGGUAUGUCUUAUUUUCGGGGAAACACGGAACAUAUUGAGAAACUUCUAUUGUUCUCAGCUUCACAUGUUGUGCCAUUUCUAAAUACAGUAUAGUCUCACUUAUCCAACAUAAACGGGCCGACAGAAUGUUGGAUAAGCAAAUAUGUUGGAUAAUAAGGCGAGAUUAAGGAAAAGCCUAAUAAACAUCAAAUUAGGUUAUGGUUUUACAAAUUUAGCACCAAAAUAUCAUGUUUAACAACAAAUUUGACAGAAAAAGUAGUUCAAUAUGCAGUAAUGCUACGUAGUAAUUACUGUAUUUACGAAUUUAGUACCAAAACAUCACAAUGUAUUUAAAACAUUGGCUACUAAAAGGCAGACUGCGUUGGAUAAUCCAGAACAUUGGAUAAUAAUAAUAAUCUUUAUUCGUAUACCCCGCCUCCAUCUCCCCGAAGGGACUCGGGGUGGCUUACAUGGGGCAAAAGCCCAAACAAAUACCGUAAGGAACAUAAGACACAUCAAACAGCAAAAACCGCACACAAAAGGAAUAAACAUUAACAUAGAAAUAGCAAGAACAUUGGUAAAAACAUAUUAAAAUACAGCGAUAAAAUCAUAAAAACAACUGGGCGAAAAUGCGCUAAGUGUGUUUUGUAGACAUGAGGUAGUUAAUAAAGUGCUACAAAGUCGUAGAGGUUUUGGAGUGGGAUGGAUCCUGUGAUUAUACCAGAAAAUUGGCAAAGCAAGGUGCAAUCAAUCAGAACGAGGAUAAGCGAAUGUUGGAUAAGUGAGACUCUACUGUAUAUGAUUAUAGACUUCUGUACUGAAUCUAGUUUAUUACUCAAACUAAACCAGAAGGUGCAGCAGUUUGCAAUUGCCUGAACCUAUGGGGAAGGGCAAGAUUGCACCCCCUUCUCUCCGCUCCCCUUUGCCAAUUGACAGAGCCGGCCCUAGGUAUUUUUCAAGUGUAGGCGAACAGAAUUUUGGCGCCCCCCCAAACCAAUCACUGAAAAAUAAAAGUGUUGGAUAAGCGAAAAUGUUGGAUAAUAAGGAAGUAUAAAGGAAAAGCCUAUAAAACAUCAAAUUACAUUAUGAUUUUAAAAAUUAAGCACCAAAACAUCAUGUUUUACAACAAAUCAAUAGAAAAAGCAGUUCAAUACAUGGUAAUGUUAUGUAGGAAUUACUAUAUUUGCAAAUUUAGCACUAAACAUUGAACAGGGAUAUAGGGCAGUGUGGACUUAGAUAACCCAGAUAGCCCUCAGUAUUAAAAAAAAAACCCCUCUAAAAUCAGGACAAUAAAUAAAGAACAACACUCUGAAAACAGAAGAAAUCCAGACAGUAAACAAUCAGGGACAGCUAACUCCUCCCAAAAAAAGAUUCUCCCAGGCAAGAAGAAGCCAGGCCU